GACGAACGCUGGCGGCGUGCUUAACACAUGCAAGUCGAACGGAAAGGCCCUGCUUUUGUGGGGUGCUCGAGUGGCGAACGGGUGAGUAACACGUGAGUAACCUGCCCUUGACUUUGGGAUAACUUCAGGAAACUUGGGCUAAUACCGGAUAGGAUCUCCUGCUGCAUGUUGUGGGUUGGAAAGUUUCGGCGGUUGGGGAUGGACUCGCGGCUUAUCAGCUUGUUUGUGGGGUAGUGGCUUACCAAGGCUUUGACGGGUAGCCGGCCUGAGAGGGUGACCGGCGACAUUGGGACUGAGAUACGGCCCAGACUCAUACGGGAGGCAGCAGUGGGGAAUAUUGCACAAUGGGCGGAAGCCUGAUGCAGCAACGCGGCGUGCGGGAUGACGGCCUUCGGGUUGUAAACCGCUUUCGCCUGUGACGAAGCGUGAGUGACGGUAAUGGGUAAAGAAGCACCGGCUAACUACGUG
RNAcentral lists this ribosomal RNA (468 nucleotides) under uncultured bacterium. Its description in RNAcentral is "partial 16S ribosomal RNA". It matches the Rfam family "Bacterial small subunit ribosomal RNA", at positions 28 to 507 of the family's 1533-position model. The record is from RNAcentral.